Molecule: ribosomal RNA, 433 nt
Filed under: Paraorygmatobothrium sp.
Lineage: Eukaryota; Metazoa; Platyhelminthes; Cestoda; Phyllobothriidea; Phyllobothriidae
Description: bacterial SSU rRNA
Rfam family: Eukaryotic small subunit ribosomal RNA
Source: RNAcentral
CAGCCGCGGUAAUUCCAGCUCCAAUAGCGUAUAUUAAAGUUGCUGCAGUUAAAAAGCUCGUAGUUGGAUCUCGGUAUCACUGUUGCCUGUUGGAUUCUGGGUGGUUGGCUACGGUGCAUGGGUUCCGCCUGUGUUACCAUGGUCGCUGUUCAGGCUGGCAAAGCGGUGGUGUCACCUUUCAGCCAUGUCUGUGGUGAAAUACCCGCAGGUGUAGGCGAACGUCAGGCGGUGCCUUGCGACAGUAGGGUUCGUCGGCUCGUUUGCAUGCCUUUGGAUGCCCUUCAAAAGGUGUCUGUGGGCGGAUGGCACGUUUACUUUGAACAAAUUUGAGUGCUCAAACCACGCCGAUGUUGCCUGAAAAGUUUUGCAUGGAAUAAUGGAAUAGGACUUCGGUUCUAUUUCGUUGGUUUUCGGAUCCGAAGUAAUGAUCAAA